GGCGACUCGCCGAAUGAGUUCUGACCUAUCAACUCGAGACGGCGGGGUAGAGGCCCGCCGCGGUAACGACGGGUAACGGGGAAGUCAGGGUUCGAUUCCGGAGAGGGAGCCCGAGAAACGGCUACCACUUCCAAGGAAGGCAGCAGGCGCGCAACUUACCCUAAUCUCGAUUCGAGGAGGUAGUGACAAGAAAUACCGAUGCGGGACCCUACGGGUGCCGCGUUCGGAAUGAGUACGAUUCGAACCACCUAACGAGGAACGAUCGGAGGGCAAGUCUGGUGCCAGCAGCCGCGGUAAUUCCAGCUCCAAUAGCGUACGUUAAAGUUGCUGCAGUUAAAAGCUCGUAGUUGAACGUUCGGGUUCCGCGGGACGGGGCCGCCCCGCGAGGGACGGCGCCGCCCCGGGGCUCGUGAUAUCUUAUCUCGCCGCCCGUCGCGAGGCGGACGGAGGGAUGGAUGAGGUUACCUGGG
RNAcentral lists this ribosomal RNA (470 nucleotides) under uncultured eukaryote. RNAcentral describes it as "bacterial SSU rRNA". It matches the Rfam family "Eukaryotic small subunit ribosomal RNA", at positions 286 to 760 of the family's 1831-position model. The record is from RNAcentral.